Molecule: long non-coding RNA, 1056 nt
Filed under: Anas platyrhynchos platyrhynchos (common mallard)
Lineage: Eukaryota; Metazoa; Chordata; Aves; Anseriformes; Anatidae
Description: lncRNA (ENSAPLG00000025993.1)
Source: RNAcentral
AUGAGCAGUCACUCAACACAGCACAUUAUCUCUUACCUACAUUUCUUUCACCUUCCUCGACAGAUUUCCAUGGAGAGACGACCGACUCUGUAUGUUCUGAACCUGAUCCUGCCCACGUGCGCCCUGUACCUGCUCGAUAUGGCUGUGCUGUUUGGACCCAGCUCCCUCGAGGAGAAAAUCAGCUUCCAGAUUUCUAUCAUCCUGGGCAGCUCCAUGUUGGCCGUGAUUCUCAACAACAUGCUUCCUACUUCCUCCAAUGAACCACCCAUAAUAGUGAUAUUCUUCUUAGGCACCUUCCUGUUAAUGAUCAUGGCUGUGUUAGACACCUUCUUCCUGCUGCACCAGCAGCACAAAUCCCUACGCUUAGACAAGGCUCUCAGAAGCAUCCAGCAAGGCGUGCACACCAAGCUGGCAACGACAGAGGCCAACAACCAGGCCACGAAGCACCUCGCCAAGAAGAGCCAGGAAAAAGGGCAGCAAGCCAAGCCCCACUGGAAACCACAGGAGCAGGACCCCGUUCUGCCAGUCCUGGAGAAGGUGCUUCUCUACAGUCACUUAUUCUUGUCGCUCUUUUUUUUUGCUGUUAUUUCUAUAAAAUGGAGCAGCUAGGGGCCAGCUCUGUGUUACGCUCAUUCAGUCGUUCUCAAUUUUAUUGUUUCUAAUCCCUCCACUGUCUUGUUUUUUUUUUUUUUUUCCUGCUUGAUUCAUAGAACUGCAAUGUUUCAGUUGCCUAAAUUUAAAAAAAAAAAAAAAACAAUCCAGGGCAUAAGACAGGCAUGGUUCCUGCUGUGUACUCUAGUUCAGUAAAACUACACACGUUCUUGCAGUGCUCUGUGGGCUAGCGAAGUACCUGUACAAAACACUAGUGGAAUCAGGGGACAGAACCUUCCUUCCAUCAGACAGUAAUUCUUACAACCACACGCCCCUUAUGAUAGGAAAAGGGAAUUAAUGUCCUUUUUUGUCAUGGAGAUGUUUCCGUUCUGAGGAAAGGUGGUUAAGAGUUCCACCUUAGGGUAAUUAAAUAAAUCAAUGCAAGUACAAAGCCUCUGUUGUAUU